Molecule: ribosomal RNA, 824 nt
Filed under: Colletotrichum gloeosporioides
Lineage: Eukaryota; Fungi; Ascomycota; Sordariomycetes; Glomerellales; Glomerellaceae
Also listed under: 1 other name
Description: eukaryotic LSU rRNA
Rfam family: Eukaryotic large subunit ribosomal RNA
Source: RNAcentral
UGCCUCAGUAACGGCGAGUGAAGCGGCAACAGCUCAAAUUUGAAAUCUGGCCCCAGGCCCGAGUUGUAAUUUGCAGAGGAUGCUUUUGGUGCGGUGCCUUCCAAGUUCCCUAGAACGGGACGCCAGAGAGGGUGAGAGCCCCGUACAGUUGGACACCAAGCCUUUGUAAAGCUCCUUCGACGAGUCGAGUAGUUUGGGAAUGCUGCUCAAAAUGGGAGGUAUAUUUCUUCUAAAGCUAAAUACCGGCCAGAGACCGAUAGCGCACAAGUAGAGUGAUCGAAAGAUGAAAAGCACUUUGAAAAGAGGGUUAAACAGCACGUGAAAUUGUUAAAAGGGAAGCGCUUGUGACCAGACUUGCGUCCGGUGAAUCACCCAGCUCUCGCGGCUGGGGCACUUCGCCGGCUCAGGCCAGCAUCAGCUCGCUGUCGGGGACAAAAGCUUCAGGAACGUAGCUCUCUUCGGGGAGUGUUAUAGCCUGUUGCACAAUACCCUUCGGCGGGCUGAGGUACGCGCUCCGCAAGGAUGCUGGCAUAAUGGUCAUCAGCGACCCGUCUUGAAACACGGACCAAGGAGUCAACCUUAUGUGCGAGUGUUCGGGUGUCAAACCCCUACGCGUAAUGAAAGUGAACGCAGGUGAGAGCUUCGGCGCAUCAUCGACCGAUCCUGAUGUUCUCGGAUGGAUUUGAGUAAGAGCAUAUAGGGUUGGACCCGAAAGAAGGUGAACUAUGCGUGUAUAGGGUGAAGCCAGAGGAAACUCUGGUGGAGGCUCGCAGCGGUUCUGACGUGCAAAUCGAUCGUCAAAUAUGCGCAUGGGGGCGAAAGAC